AGGGCUAGUUUAAUUAAACAUUUGAUUUCGGCUCAAAAAUUUGUGGUUAAAAUCCACAGCCAAUC
Molecule: transfer RNA, 65 nt
Filed under: Lethrinus laticaudis (grass emperor)
Lineage: Eukaryota; Metazoa; Chordata; Actinopteri; Spariformes; Lethrinidae
Description: tRNA-Arg
Rfam family: tRNA
About the family: Transfer RNA (tRNA) molecules are approximately 80 nucleotides in length.
Source: RNAcentral